UGCUAGGUAGCUGUGGAGGCGGAGCUUAGACAGAAUAAUAACAAAGGGGUUUUUUUUCUUCUUCUCAACUUAGCAAGGCAGUUUUAAGUUCAAUAAUUUGUAUACAAUCGUGAUUCCAAGAAGGACUCGAUUAUGUUUAGUUAACAAACUGAGUGAGGACUCGAGACAGUUGAAGUCCCCUUAAUACGGAGCAGCAAGCAAACACAGAACGAGCUACCAUGAUAACAACCUUCAGCAGACAACAUGUUCAGGAUGAGUGUACUCAGCUAUGCGCUUGAACUACACACAGCCGCCCAGCCUUGGCCAGGAGACCCCCGCAGCCCACAGUCCCUGAAGGCACAGACAUGAAUGUGCUCACUGAAUUUCAUCUCUGUGUCACUAGAAUUUUGCAAGUGGAUCAGUUGGCCUGAAGACAGAAGCAUUUCCAAAUCUCACUGUGCAGGACGCCUUGCAAGUGAGCUGUUGGGAGAUCAGCCCUGGGCUUUCUGUACUGAACCGGUGAAGGAAAAGAAGAACAGAAGCAUUUCCUACACCAGUGACACCCUGAAGGAGUCAUCUUCAAACAUGGUUUCAAGUCUAAAAAAAAAGUGCCCAGUGCUGGGCUGACCAAAGGAGCAGCGUUUGAAACCGUGUGACUUUCUGUGACAGCUUCAUGUUGACUUCCCACUUCUGAGGACCACCAGCAGAUAGACUGGCUGUCACACUUAUGUCCCAGCAUCCCUGGGAGACAAAGGAGACUUCAGAGAACAAUAAAACAAGAGUUCCUCGUGUGUCACUUGCCUUUCUCAGGAAGAAAUAAAAAGGACUGGAUAGCUGCUGAGGCUGUCUACUACAGCCCUAACCAAUGUACAGUGAGAGACACCGUCUGCCACUGUCUGCCUAACCUAACUGGGGCAUGAGGCUUCAAAGCCAAGUGUUUCAGGGGGAAGAAAAAAUGAAGACAGGCAAACAACUACAGGAGGAGAAAGGGCUGAGGUACUUGCUGCUUUCCAGACUCCAUUUUCUCUCUGCUUAGUGAAGAAUAACAUCCCUGUGUUCCAAGAGUCGCCCCAAGCUAGCAGUGUGACCAACAAGGAGCUGCAACGUUUUCCCUAAAUUCCACAGGAAGGAAGAAGCCCUGUGCUCCUUCUGAACACCGGUGGGUUCAGACAGCCUCAGGAUUCCUUUGGAAUAAAGGGUUAGAUGUA
This is a long non-coding RNA of Rattus norvegicus (Norway rat), 1187 nucleotides long. RefSeq lists it as uncharacterized. The record is from RefSeq and is a predicted model, not a curated record. Lineage: Eukaryota; Metazoa; Chordata; Mammalia; Rodentia; Muridae.